CAAGUUAAAUUCUAGGAAUACCAUUAUUUACAUUAAUGUUUUGGUUUGUGCAAUUCAACCUGACUUGA
RNAcentral lists this transfer RNA (68 nucleotides) under Leptocorisa chinensis. Its description in RNAcentral is "tRNA-Val". Lineage: Eukaryota; Metazoa; Arthropoda; Insecta; Hemiptera; Alydidae. RNAcentral also lists the same sequence under 1 other name. The record is from RNAcentral.